Molecule: long non-coding RNA, 2058 nt
Organism: Passer domesticus (house sparrow)
Lineage: Eukaryota; Metazoa; Chordata; Aves; Passeriformes; Passeridae
Exons: 3
Source: RefSeq, a predicted model, not a curated record
GUCUCCUUUUUUAAAUUAAAAAAGAAAGAAAAACCCCAAUAAUUGCCAUCUGCCACUUUCUUAGUAAACAUUGCGAUAUGUCAUGAACUCAAUUACACAGAUCACUGGGGUGUGGACAACUGGUUGCUGCGUUUUAAAAACAAGUGUUGAAAUAAAACUUUGCUUUAAGUGCAGCAAAUCCAUUACUGAAUGUCCAUCAAAGGAAGGGGCUCCUUUCAGCCAGCUCUGUGUGUUCCCUUACGUCAGUGGAAAACUGCCCAGUAUUUUUAGGCAUAAACAGCUGGAGAUAAUUCUUAAUUGCACAAUAGAUGAGACCGUGUAGUGACCUACAUCUGCUAGUUGAACAAGGAGAACAUCUUUUUAGGAUGGGAAACAAGUUACAAGUCCAGAGGCAACAUAUAUUGCAAAUAUAAGAGGUGAGUCAUGGUUAUGAUUCCUAAUUUAUGGUUCACAGGGCAUUGAAUCAUCUUCUAUAGAAAACCUACAGAAAUCUGCCAUCUUACACCAGAUUCUGAAGAAAUUUAAUCCUUUUUCAAAUUACUACUGGCAUCACUUUCAGCUGACACUUCAGGGCAGAGAAACUAAGCUGAUCCUACUUUUCCACCUGUGGAACUAAUUUCCUUUGGCUGAAGUCAGAGUUUACAGCUGGCUCCUUGCAGCACUUUGCACACACGCAGCACAGGGAAGCUCCCAAACCUCCCAGCUGCUGUGAGGGAAUAGGGGAAUGGGGGAAGGAAAAUGAGCUCAUCUGGGAUGAAGAUCAGUCCCUGUAUAAGCUUUCAGGUGCUCCCCAGGGACCCUUUCACUGGUGGGUUUGGAUGUGUAAAGGAGGCCUGGAGUCUCUCAGGUGUUUGUGGUGGCUCAGGGCUGGCUGUCAGGCAGACCUUGUGAGUUGUGUCCCUGCCUCUGGAAUACCACACAGGAGUGGAAACCUGGGAUUUCAACACAAAUUAUGAAGGUUUCUCUGUCAGCUUCUCUCCCCUCCCCUGCUGCUUUCCGUGCAGUUCCAAACCUUCUCCAGAUCCCUGCUCUGCAGAGGGUUAUCAGAGCUGGUCAUACCCCAGCCUGCCAGCCCUCCCUCUGCCAUCCUAGCAGCAAGCCCUCCUCUCUGACACGGUCACCUGCCCUGAUCCAUCCCCACGUUCUCUGCUGUGCCUGUCCUCCCCAUGUUCAGGGUGCCACAGCAGUGGAAGUGGUCUUACCAGGCCCUUGCAAAAGGACUAUUCUCUUUUUUUUUUUUCACCAUGAAUAAUUUAUGGAACAGAGCUACGUUAUCUGAUGAAAUUCUGAGAUUAUGUCCUCCUUCUUUCUCCUUUCUUCUUUUUCUUUCCUGUUUUACUUAUCAGGACAGUGCUGCCCAUUGUGGUUUGUCCUCCCUGUGGUUUUUUCAGCCCUCACCACCUUUGCCUGACUUGCUCAAGCACAUGUGGUUUAUUCUUCCCCUGAGCCACAGUUUCAGCAGCAGCCUAAGCCCUGCUGGGAGCCCCUUGGCAUCAUCGCUGUUGCUCCAUACAUGGCUGCCUGCAGAGCUCACAAUAAUCCCUGCAGGGAGCUGAUACACUCAGGACUCCUGUGGCAGCACCACCCGUGUGGGAGGUCUUCCUGAGAACAGAGCUGGCUGCAAUUCCCUGCUCCUAUGAAGCUACAGCUUGGAAGAAUGAAUUUUGACUGUUUCUGCUGCUUCAUUCAAGGGACUCUGUUUCUCCAGAAUGACAUCCUCCUAGUGUUGUGCUACUGGGAAAUGUCACUGCCAUGUAUGACUCCUUUUAAAAUUUGCUUUAAAGUCAGUACUUCAGCAAUAUUUUCCUACUUUCAUGAAUGACCCAGUUAGCCUUGUUUACACAUGAUGAAUUUGUAUUCAAAUUUGUAUCCAGCUUACCUGCUGGAUGAUGGGCUGAGGAUUGAAUAAAUUAUAUUAUUAUGGCCAUUUUAAAGAUGAGUCUCCGUCCCUUUACCACUUGUACAUUGCCCAAGUGUGUUGGAGGUGCUUGAUAGAAAAUGCUCAGUUCAUUUAGAUGUUGCAUGCCUGAGGUUUGACAACCAUUUUUAGCCUCUUAG